UCACGGCAAGGUGGUCCCUCGGCGAGGCUCAGCAGCUCAGCUGGGAGGGGCCGACAGGCAGAGUCCAGGAAUGAGAUGCGCAGAAGGGAAGAGGAAGACGAAGGGCCAGGAGAGAGAGAGAGAGAGGGAGAGAGUCAGGCCGAAGGCCACCACAGUAGCUGACGAGGUGGGAGGUGGAGGAGAGCCGGGGGUCUGCUGGAUAAGCUGCACCUUCUUCAGCACAAUUAAAGAAAGGACAGGUGUUAUACCCAAGGACAACCAGGACAAGAGGCAGUGAGGGGGGCUACGGCAGACCACCGAAGGCACAGCAGAAUAGCAGCCACUUAAGUGGUGAGAAGACCCCCACAGUGAAGACAACUGACUCCGCCCCUUUAAAACCCACCGCUAUCAGAGAGAGAGGCAAGUCCCUUUUAAGUCGACUGAGCCCAAGGAUGAAAUUCUGAAUACCUUCGAGAACUGAAUGCGGUCUUAGGACGUCACUGUAGCUGUUGGAAGUUCUUCUGUUGCUUCUUCACUUGCAUCCGCCAUUUCCAGGAACCAGUCGACAUGGCAGAGAAUGAAAUUGAAGUUUACAGCACCCGCUUAGACCUGCCCAGUGAGAUCACCAGCCUUACCAACUUCACAUUCACUGCCUUCAGCACAUCCUCAUCCUCAGCAUUGGGACUCCCCUUAAUGUAAGUGCCGACACCCAACUGUUCACACCUCUUAACUCAACUGUCGAUGCCCACCUGUCGACGCCCCUUAACGUAAGUGCCAACACCCAAAUGCCAAUGUCACUUAACUCAACUGUCGAUGCCCACCUGUCGACGCCCCUUAACGUAAGUGCCAACACCCAACUGCCAAUGUCACUUAACUCAACUGUCGAUGCCCACCUGUCGACGCCCCUUAACGUAAGUGCCAACACCCAAAUGCAAAUGUCACUUAACUCAACUGUCGAUGCCCACCUGUCGACGCCCCUUAACGUAAGUGCCAACACCCAAAUGUCAAUGUCACUUAACUCAACUGUCGAUACCCACCUGUCGACGCCCCUUAACAUAAGUGCCAACACCCAACUGCCAAUGUCACUUAACUCAACUGUCGAUGCCCACCUGUUGACGUCCCUUAACGUAAGUGCCAACACCAAAUUGCCAAUGUCACUUAACUCAACUGUCGAUGCCCACCUGUCGACGUCCCUUAACGUAAGUGCCAACACCCAACUGCCAAUGCCUCCUAACCCUACUGUCGACACCCCUUGCCCCACCCUCUUGAUGCUGAUUGGUCAUUUGUUCACCUGCAGCACUGGCUGAUUCACGCAGGGUACUGAAAUGCAAUACGUCUGCUUUGCUCUUAGUUACGACCUGCGAUCCACGGACACAAAUUAAAAUGUGCUUUUUAUGCUGCAUUUUAUACCGACACGAAAAAUUAGUUGACGUGCUUUUAAUUCGGAUGCACUAAAACUACACCAAAAUAAGUGCAAAUAUAUUGCAUUGCAACAUAGUCACUGAUGCUAAAGAUGGCGCUGCCAGGCAAGAGGAGAAGAGGUUUGUGGAUGUGGCGAGAGGGGACAUGACAGUGGUGGGUGUGACAGAGCAAGAUGACGAGGACAGGAGGAUAUGGAACAAGAUGAUCUGCUGUGGUGACGCCGAACAGGAGCAGCUGAAAGAAGAAGAAGAAGAUUGUGAAGAAGGCAUAGCGUCCCCGAGAGCCAGCGCUGUGACAAUGGCAUUUCUCAAAUUGCUGUGCAGUCCCAGGAGUCACAUGGUGCUUCUCCUUCCUUCUCUAACCCUGUAGAGUUCAAUGUCACAGUCACAGAUAGCGGGUGCCUCUCCCGUUAGCACCGAGUGAAAAGCAUGAAACGGGAGGAUGAAGUUGACAAACACACAAAUGCGUGCAGACGCGCACUCAAUGCCCACACGGACAACGACCAGGCACACCAUUCCAACCCUUGGCGCCAGACGUGUGACGCGGCAGCAGCGGUGACUGCCACUUCAGCAGAGUCAUCGGUGCACAUGCGAACAGGACUCACGAGAAGGCCUUUCUGAACUGAAGACCCGCCUCUCCUCUUCAUUCAUUGGUCAGGAGUCCUGUCUUCAGUUCAACAGUUCCACCCACAAGUCUUUGGGUUUCCUGUUUACUUGCAUGCUGAUGAUUCCUGAAUGGACUAUUAGUCAAUAUUUUAGCACAAAGGUUUUCAUUAUGCACGUUUUGAGAUGGCGGCUGGAUGACGGACACGCGGAUUAUUCAACACGAGUAACGCGAGGUUUUUUCUUUUUUUCACAGUUUUUCCGAUUUCUUCGAAAUCUUAAACUUCUUUCUCUCCAUUUCAAAUGAAUGUGUGGGACUGAAAAUUGUUCUCGACCACCCAUACAAAGUACACGGGGUAUGGGACAUAUUAAAAAAAGGGUCAUUUCUGGAAGGAAUAUUCGUUGACGGGAAACCAGAAAUCAACACCAAAGUCAAAACCCAAAGCAAAACGUUCCCAGAAUCCUUUGAAAUGCUAACGGACGCCAAGUUCAUUUUGAGCGUAGACUCGUCGGCCAAGAGGUACCUGACAUAUCGGCCAGCGGCGCGGCGAUCGCCUCCCAGGAACAGCGAGAGGACUUCAACACCGUGCUGCCCAAAAUGGGGCUGUGCUAAAAAAAUGAAGAGAACGAUAAAAUAAACGAAAACAGCCGAAAUCUGUUCGAGGAGAGUAAAACUGGUCAACCACCAAAAUCAAUUUAACACGUUAAAAAAGAAAAAUAUAGCGUUGUGUUGGGAAAGCAAGAAGAUUGUAAAAGGACAAGCCAGGAGAUCGAUAAACAGAGAAACAACGAAACGAAAGAGCAGGACGAGAAGAGGAAAGCGAAAGUCGGGACAAACCCAAGGAAUCACAUCAGAAAUCAAAGAACAGACACGCGACACGCUUAGCAAAGGUUUCUCAAUCGCCGCUCGCGUAAAGACACGGCCAAGGGGGCGCCUAUUUAAACCCACUGCUGCAAAUAUCGGUGGGUGACAAACGAUGGGAAAGGUCACUGCCAGAAGAAAUAAAUUCAAAAAUAUAACAUACAUGCGCUGCAUAUAUAUAUAUAUAUAUAUAUAGAGAGAGAGAGAGAGAGAGACACUAGCCGUCCCCCGCAGCAUCGCCAACGUUGUACUGAAACACGACAGCGAGGAGGACCCUGCCCGGCCCCCCACUCCUGAAGGCCCACAGCCUCGGAUUAGCGUGAAUAUGUCACUCCCAUAAGUGAACUGAAAAUCAACCGGAAUGUUGAAGCAAAUUAUAGAGAAAAAAAAAAAACCCGAUCUAAAUCCGUCAAGUAAAAGCAAACAGACAUGGGAUUUUAUUAUAUAGAGAGAGAUCUGCGCACACACACACACACACACGGGCUUGUCAAGUCUCUGUCAUGGACUUUUACAAAGAGGGUGUAAAUAGCAGUAGGACAUUUAUUUACUAAGCAUCUGCUCUCCUCUUUAGUGCGACAUCAUUUCCUUCAUAAGCCCCGCCUUUUCCUGUUUGAUGGGAUAAGAGAGCCUGUGACAGAGUGACCAGCUGUCAUUUGACAACAAGAGGCUAUCGAGAGGAAAACUCCUGCAUUUUCUUUUGAGAGCCACGAGAGGGCGCCAAACCCUCUUUUUUUUGAUUCAAUGGCCUGAUUUUUCAGUGACACUCGUUUAGUUUUUCUUUAAUUAUGCAAUGCUGCACAUUAAACUGGGCAUUCCUGGCAGGACCCCCAAC
Polypterus senegalus (gray bichir) is the source of this 3697-nucleotide long non-coding RNA. RefSeq lists it as uncharacterized. NCBI's taxonomy places the organism in Eukaryota, Metazoa, Chordata, Cladistia, Polypteriformes, Polypteridae. The record is from RefSeq and is a predicted model, not a curated record. The transcript is spliced from 3 exons.